AGCCGUGUGAUGAGCACAUAGCGAACUAUUCUUUCGCCUUUUACUAAAGAAUACCGUGUGUGCGUCACUUAUAACGGCAUACGUUAAUUUUUGAAAGAGCUCUCUUGAUUGAGGGCU
Molecule: small nuclear RNA, 117 nt
Organism: Medicago truncatula (barrel medic)
Lineage: Eukaryota; Viridiplantae; Streptophyta; Magnoliopsida; Fabales; Fabaceae
Rfam family: U5 spliceosomal RNA
About the family: U5 RNA is a component of both types of known spliceosome. The precise function of this molecule is unknown, though it is known that the 5' loop is required for splice site selection and p220 binding, and that both the 3' stem-loop and the Sm site are important for Sm protein binding and cap methylation.
Source: Rfam